Taeniopygia guttata (zebra finch) is the source of this 311-nucleotide non-coding RNA. The record is from RefSeq and is a predicted model, not a curated record. NCBI's taxonomy places the organism in Eukaryota, Metazoa, Chordata, Aves, Passeriformes, Estrildidae.
AUAGCUCAUUUUUUAUGCCCAAGAGGCCUUUGUGCCCUAUGGAGAUCCAGACCUUAUUUCCUUUGACUUGCCAGUUGUUAUUACAACCAACAUCUUGUUCUUGUUUUCUGUGAAGCAGAGGGAAUGUGUCUCAUUUAGUCCAAGACCCUGGGGAAGGGUGGGAUGGCAGGGAUGGGGGACAGGUAUGCUUUGAGACUGGUGCACAGUUUGCAAUAGAGCUAUGGCUGCAGUGAGUAGUUUUCCCAUUUUCAGGACUUGAUAGCCUCUGCUGGUUCACACAGGUUACUUCAUGCUUACCUGGGUUGCUUCCU